This 72-nucleotide transfer RNA is filed under the name Fukomys damarensis (Damara mole-rat). It matches the Rfam family "tRNA". Rfam says of the family: Transfer RNA (tRNA) molecules are approximately 80 nucleotides in length. Lineage: Eukaryota; Metazoa; Chordata; Mammalia; Rodentia; Bathyergidae. The record is from Rfam by way of RNAcentral.
UAGAAUGUAGCUCAGUGGUAGUGUGCUUGUCUAGUAGACAUAAAGGCCUAGGUUCUAUUCUUAGCAUUGAAA